UGUGCUUUGUUAUGUGUUACUUAUAGGGAAUCUUAGUCUUAGGUCUAUAUAGACUUUGUUACUCUUUCAUUGUUUUUCCUCCUCUUCAUUUUUUGCAUUUUUGCUAUCUUAUAUAGAACAAUCCACUUCAUUUUGCUUUGAUUUAACUAUUGAAAUUAUGAAAGUGAUGCAGUUUGGAGUUUAGGACAACUUUCAAUCCUUGGAUGAAUAGGUGCUGACAAAGCCAAUUCCACCUUGUAAUACAUCAAAGUGAAGAUUUCUACCUGAAGAAGUAAGCCAGCUCUGGGGUUUUCACAGGAGACAUCUCUUCAAUCUCACCUUGUUUCUCUCUCGCUCGGUCAUCAGUCCACCCUCAUUGUUGGACCACCAUCAUCACAACAUUCAAAAUGGUAAUGAUGUUCAAGAAAAGAGGGAUUGACUAAUAAAAUCCAAGUCCAAAGACAGUCGGCCAUUAGUUGCUAAUAAUACUGCCUACAGUUUUCUAAUCAAGACAUAGAUGUGAUUUUAAGGGCACACUUCAGGAGGGACAAGCACUCCAUUGUAGCACUUUGGCCAUAUAUGUAAAGUAUUCAUGACAUCCGUAGCACACGACCCUUACCGGGAGGUAAUCACUUGGGAGUCCGUCUUAACCCUUAAUGCUCACCCUUCAGUUGUCAACCUCAGUAUGCCCAGGCUCCCAAACCAAGCUCAUGCAUUUAUGUGAAGUUUUGUUAAAAAAUUUAGUUUGCACUUUAAUUAUUUAUCUAAGGUGAAGAUGUAUGUAUGUAACCCCUUUCUUUACCAAUGUUCGGUUAUACGCUCAAUUAUGUAUAUGGGUAUGUAUUUAGAUAAAUAGCUCUCACGUAUGUGAUCCUGGCAUGUUAGUUUUAGCUCAAUGGAUGUUAUUCUAUGUUACUUUGUAAUAUUAAAUGCUUCCGUUCAA
This is a non-coding RNA of Camellia sinensis, 922 nucleotides long. The record is from RefSeq and is a predicted model, not a curated record. NCBI's taxonomy places the organism in Eukaryota, Viridiplantae, Streptophyta, Magnoliopsida, Ericales, Theaceae.